Long non-coding RNA from Oxyura jamaicensis (ruddy duck), 508 nucleotides. RefSeq lists it as uncharacterized. The record is from RefSeq and is a predicted model, not a curated record. The transcript has 3 exons. NCBI's taxonomy places the organism in Eukaryota, Metazoa, Chordata, Aves, Anseriformes, Anatidae.
AAACAGGCAUGCUGGGAAACCUGCUGAGGUUGUUGGGAUCUUCCAAUGAUCCAGGGUGGGCCUCAAAUGAAGCUUUUCUUGCUUGGUUAUAUGUGCUCUAUGGGGAGCUCACCCUGCACUCUUUUCCUUGGAGUGGGCUAUUUUCUGAGAUAUUUCUUCUACUUGCCUGUUUUCAGGACCUUAAUCCUUGUAACCUAUGCCUCUGAUAGAUCAGGCUGGCUGAGAUUGACCAGUAGGUUCAAGAGCUACUAGAGGAGGAUACACCUAUAUAUCUGCAGUGAACUGAGCCCUGAGUUUCCUAGGAUCUACCCAGGCACUGGGAUGAAGAGCCUCACAGGCAGGAGCUUCAAGAGACCCCUCUCCUGAAGCAGCAAAAUGACUUCAAGCCAAGCAGCUCACAGCCAUGGAAAAGCUAAGUGGAGCACAAAAUGUUUCAGGAGUGCCCAGCUCCUAGAAAAAGGCAGCCAGUCUUUGCUAAGAGCAACAGGCAUGAGACUAUGGCCUGGAA